Molecule: non-coding RNA, 3070 nt
Organism: Podarcis muralis (Common wall lizard)
Lineage: Eukaryota; Metazoa; Chordata; Lepidosauria; Squamata; Lacertidae
Source: RefSeq, a predicted model, not a curated record
GUCGGGUCGGGUUGGGAGAGUUGAACUGUGAUUAUUUUGAUGUCUACCAUGUUCAUAUCUGAGCUCAUUAGUAAACCAAUGCUGAUGUGGAAAAUCUGUUUAUUUUAUUUUUUAAAUAACACUAUUGCUUUUCUAUUAAGUGCAGUAAACUCCAUCUGGAAUACAAAUGGAAGAAAAUUAAAUCUCUGGCCUGUUCCUCUCCUCCUCUAUCUGUUGGGUCUAUUUUAUUGCCCUGCCACUGUCACUGUAGAAUCUUGGAUUCUGAAGUGUAAAAAUCACGGCUCCGCGUGAACCCGGAAAUACCUUCUCAAGGCAGUGAAGUCCACUCUGCUCUUUAUUAUCUCUGUGGCGGACCGCGCUGACGUUUCCCGUCUCUGCGUCCCUCAGCUGCCGCCAGGAGGAGCGGCGGGGCGUCGUCAGGUUCUUCUCUUCUUGCCUUUCCUUGGGAUGAGAGCUUCGAGUGGCUGGAUUGAAGGGUUCCUGCAUUCUGCCAGCUACAGGUUAACAGUUCUGACUGGAGAGGUGCUGUUAUCAGGUUUCUCAUCCUAUUUAAUAAUGAACUGAGGACGAUACCAAAGAAGGCUGCAGAACCACAGUUGCAGUAUAGUUGUUUCUGGUACAAACCGACUACAGUGCUUCUCUCAUUUGAUGCAGAGGAAUGGGUCAGGAGACUUGAGAGAACCAGGUACAAGGCUUGCAGAGAGCAUCGAGGGCUUGAGAACACACUGUCCCUUGGGGCUCUACCUUUAUGCUUUGACCCUGAGAAAGAACAGUUUGUGAAGGACAGAUAGAAACCAGGGCACACAGAGAAACCAAUGAGGGAACAGGUGCCAUGUCAGCAGCUUUAUAUAGGAGUUUUUGCUGAGGUGCAAUCAGCACAGAGGGAAGUGGCCUGACCUUCCUACCCUACAGAUUUAUUCGGCAAAGAUACGUGGCAGCUUUCCACUCGAGCUGUAACAGCAAGGACCAGCUGGAGAGAUUAUGAAACACAAGGACUCUGUGCUCUAUUCUUGUGUUUGUGGCUGAAAUGCCGUAAUAAGGCAUUGGAAAAAGAAAUGAAGCGAAAGCUUAUCAUAAGCAUUCACAUUUUCCUCCUGAGGACUUCCAGUGCAGCACUCCUAGAGGAAACUACUCUCUGGCAAGUGUGGAAAACACAGAAUAAUAAAUGAAGAGGUUGUUUAUAAUUAACAUAGUACUGGUAAGAGCACCCAAACCCAUCAAGUGGCUGGUUGGUUCUUAAGUUAUCUAGAAUGGUUACAGCUUUCCUUUGGCUGCUUUCCAUACAGUUCUGGGAAGGCCAGUCACAGGAAAACCACAUGGGAGGGGUGAAUGAUGCAGUUACGGUACUUCCUGUGCUCUUCCCUUCACCUCUCCUGAGUCUGGCUGCUGUAGUGUAGGGAGAUAAGCAUGCCAUAUGUCCCUCCCCCACAAAUGGAUAUUUUGCUUUUAAUUUUAUACUCUGUUUCUACAAAUUGCACCCUAAGUUGUGUACAAACACCUGACAGAAAGUACAGUUGACUUGCAACCUGCGCACACUUAACUUGUGCAAUUAUAGCUUUACAUGUUUGGCAGCUUGGCAGCAUGCAAUCGCACAAAUUAAAGACUCCCAUGCAAGGCAGAGAGCUUGAAAGCUCUUUCUACACCACAUUUUCCCACUGCAGAAAACUUUAAGCUCUCUGCCUUGCUUCCCAGGCUCUGGAAAAGUCUCACCAGGACUCUGGGCUUAAAAACUCUCUGCCUUGCAUGGGAGGCAAGAUCCGCUCAGUGCACCAGCUCCAGAAAGGUAGGAAUGGUCACCAGUGCUUUUUUUCUGGGGGUACUCAAGGGUCAGCCAUACCGGCAUCUUUUUUCUAGAAGGAAAACACUGAUGGUCGCACAUGUUCAGUUGUGGGGUUGUUCUGGCUAUAAGCAAUUUCGCACAGUCCCUGGAACCUAACCCUCAUGCAAGUUGUCUAUAUUAAAAAUGACUACACACUGUUUAUAAUAUAACACUGUUAACCAAAAUAUAAAUAUUUGUAGACCAAAUAGGAAAUAGGCACAAAUGAAUACAAUCUAGAGACACUGCUUUUUCUUCUCCAGUGGAUCACUUAGCAGCUGCUGAGAGCUGUGAUACCAGCCUGUUUCCUGGACCAGGUGCUUCUUAAACUGAUUCAGCAAGACACAUUCUUAAGCAAGAAUGCCCAUUAAAGAUCUCUUAAUACACAUUAGUUAUGCAUUGGCUCUUAAGGACUACUGAAGAUACACUCUUGCUUCAUAGAUUUAAAAUGUGUUGGUGGACCAUAGGGAUUCUAGGAUUAAAAAAAAGAACAAGACUGAAAUAAGCUUAUCCUCAGGCAUCAUUCCACUGAGGAAAAGAAGCACCCGAUAGCUAACAAUAAGUGAUCUAUAUAGUUUUUGUCUAAUAAUUGCAUCAGUCAGUUGACCAAGAUGGCUCUUAAUAAUUUCAUUUAUGGACAGGAGGAGACUUGUUUGCUAGGUUCAAGAGAAUAGGCUUAUUCAACCCCUCCACUGCUGUUCUUCCAGCUAUAAUGUACUAAACAUGCCAUAGGAUGUUAUUCACAGGCUUCUACCUGUAGGUCAGCUCACAUUCUUUCCUGUUCACAGCAAGAUAAUUAGCACCGGGCUAUUUUGCCUUUGCCUAGAGCUAAAUAACAUUUCAUACUCAACAGGUACUCAACAGGUACAUAGUUUACUGGUGACUCAACAACUGAAACCCCUUUUCUUUCUCAACAAAACGUUUCAUAAUGAUUGGCUAAAAUGUGUUAGAUGUUUCAGAGUUAACCUAGCAUUCCUGAAAUGGUGGUCCAGGAGGAUUUGCUAAUAUGACAACAGGGAGCAAUGCAGCUUAAGGGCAAAACUGUGCAUCUCUGAAGCUCGGGAAUCCCACAGUAGGACCCUUUUGAUUUUAUUGAUGGGUGAUAUUUGCUAGAGAGAUACUUCUUGUGUACCACAGUCAUAACUAUUGUACAUAUCCAAAUCUAUGUUUUCAGUUCCAUUGAAUUCAAUGGGAAAACUUGUUUCCUUAGAGAUCUUUUUAAUACAACAUAAAUGGAAACUAGCAGAACUAGAA